GUGAAUAUCUAUCUUUCCUUCAUUUCGAAGCUAAGCUCUCCUCCUCUAUAAAUAACACUCCUCUCCUAGCUUAGAAAUCAUAUAAGAUCGUGAGAAGAACCAGAGCGAGCAUUAGUGAGCAUGGCUUGACACAAAGGGUAAGAGCAUGAUAUUAUAUCUGGAUUGGGCAGGGGUCGAAUAUGAGGAAUUUCAUCACACGUAGGCACCCUCCCAUGCGCUUGUCACAUGUGAUCCUGAUGAACUUCCCUCCAUAUGAUAUGGGGUCAUUGCUGCCAUCACCGUGCUUCCCUUCCUCGCUGCCGGAAAACUCUCAUCCGCAAUUCUGCAUCCUCGUCUCUUCAAAUGCUCGCUUCCCUCUGAUUUCUGAAACAUCUGGUGUUUGAAUGCAUAGUUUAGGUGUUGUCUGAUGAGGUGCUUAACUUAACAACCUAGGACAUUUUCAUUAAUAUUGAAAACUAUCAUAUUCCAGGUGCUAUUAUUCCUUCACUAGUAAAAUAAUUUGAAUUAUCUGUUUUUUUUGUAAUUGUUG
Long non-coding RNA from Zingiber officinale, 529 nucleotides. RefSeq lists it as uncharacterized. The transcript is spliced from 4 exons. The record is from RefSeq and is a predicted model, not a curated record. Lineage: Eukaryota; Viridiplantae; Streptophyta; Magnoliopsida; Zingiberales; Zingiberaceae.